Molecule: ribosomal RNA, 489 nt
Filed under: Triticum aestivum (bread wheat)
Lineage: Eukaryota; Viridiplantae; Streptophyta; Magnoliopsida; Poales; Poaceae
Description: partial small subunit ribosomal RNA
Source: RNAcentral
AUGAUGAGAGCUCGAGCUCAUAGAGCGGCUUCUCUAAAAGCAGCUUUGGAUGGUAUGUUUCUUAAACAUGGCUUGUCUAUGUCUAAAUUGAGAGGGCAAGGGUACGAUGGAGCUUCUAACAUGAGAGUGCAAUUUUGGACGUUAAGUUUUUCUCUCGUGACAAAAAAAAAAAAAUUGGGCCCGGGGCUUGCUCCAAUCCUGGAUCCGCCACUGCACCGUGGAUGUUGGUUGCUGCCUGCCCUCUACCACCAUAGGUCAUCGGCCACCUCGAGUUUUCCCCAUCGGUCGUCGACUACGCUGCUCCGACUCGUGCCGUCCCCUCCUCCUUCCCUUGUGUACCCUCAACAAUGGCUAGCGACUGGAAUAGUGGCAGGACAGGCGGCGAUAUCCUCCCUACAGCUCUACCGCCAUGGAUGCGCCACAGAUUCACAUGGGUUGACCGUUUCUGCCAUGGAUCUGACUCAUGGUGGACUGCAUCGACCAUCGUGA